Non-coding RNA from Triticum aestivum (bread wheat), 114 nucleotides. Lineage: Eukaryota; Viridiplantae; Streptophyta; Magnoliopsida; Poales; Poaceae. The record is from Rfam.
AUGCUACUCCCUCCGUUCCGACUUACUUGUCGCAGGUAUGGAUGUAUCUAGAUGUAUUUUAGGUCUAGAUACAUCCAUUCUGCGACGAGUAAUUUGAAACGGAGGAAAUACACG